ACUCUCAUAGCUCAGUUGGUUAGAGCAUCCACUUAUUUAGCGGAGGUCUUGAGUUCAAAUCUCGGUAAGAGCA
This 73-nucleotide transfer RNA is filed under the name Nicotiana tabacum (common tobacco). It matches the Rfam family "tRNA". Rfam says of the family: Transfer RNA (tRNA) molecules are approximately 80 nucleotides in length. Their secondary structure includes four short double-helical elements and three loops (D, anti-codon, and T loops). Lineage: Eukaryota; Viridiplantae; Streptophyta; Magnoliopsida; Solanales; Solanaceae. The record is from Rfam by way of RNAcentral.